Long non-coding RNA from Gallus gallus (chicken), 1450 nucleotides. NCBI's taxonomy places the organism in Eukaryota, Metazoa, Chordata, Aves, Galliformes, Phasianidae. The record is from Ensembl.
AUCUCUAUCUGGGGAUCCUUCCUUUUGGAGCCCUUCUGCAAGCCCAGGACACGGUGCAGGAAGAAGCAAUCUGUACCUGCAGAGAUGUACCAAGGGGCAGUAGGGGCCCAAACUCUGCUGUGAUGCUGGAAGGAGUAUGAGGACAUACUGAUAGCAUAUCUCCAGAAGUAGACACACUCCUCCCUCCACCUGUGCAGCUUGGAAGAUCUUCCCUAGAGAGGGGUUUUGUUAUGAGGGAAUCCAGUAGCAAACCAGAGCCUAUCAAUAGCCCAGUGAAGAGCAGAAAUGAUCUGAGACCCUCAUUCCAUUCUUAUAUAAAAAAUAUACAGAGAUUUUUGGGAGGUAUACACAACCCCAUGACUGCGUGCUUCCAGUUGGGCACCUUACAGGUCUGUUGUCCUCUUGCUCUGCUGACAUGAGCCAGUGAUUCUGUUGUACUAAUGUGACUUCUUUCAGACAGUUUGAUGAACUUGGCGCAGCCUGGGUGUCCUUCUGUGAAGGAACCAAAGUGAUGUCCAGAGGUUUUAUGGGUGGUUGUGCUAGAAUCCAAAUGUCUAAAUUAUCAUUCAGUGCCCAUCAUUUAUUGCCCUGGGAGACAGCAAACCCAAUACAGAUAAGCAGUGCUCUUCAUAAAGGAGGAGCUUCUGGCUGGCAUCUAAGAAAAGAAACUUCCAGAAAAGGAAAAUAUACUGAUAGUCUCCAUAUCGAACAUGAGUGCAAUUAGAAAACAGGUUGAAACAGUAUGUGGUUAAAUAAAUCAGGUACACUGUCAUUGUGAGAAACCUAUACUUUAAGUAGUCAGUAGUAUGGUUUGUGCAUGAGGAAAGGGAACACUGAUACUACCUAUCCAUCUGUCGAAUUUUCAAUAAGUGGCAGGUAGUUUUGGUAAUAAACACAAAAUAUUAAUCUAUUUUAGAGGGCAUUUUUUAUAUGCAUUCAUUUGUAAGCUUUUAAUGGUUCAGCAAAUGUAAUCUGAAACACCUGGCUGAGGUAUAUUUAAUAUGAUGUAGGGUAUGAGCUCUGGAAUAAAUUUAAUAUAAUCGCCAAAUACUGAAUAAAGCUGUGAAAUGAUUCAUUGGAGCAACAGGGAGUUAUACGAUAGAUCUUAUGUGGAAAAUAAAAUUAUAAAAUGUUAAUGAAAUAGGCAUUUAAAGCUGGAGUUAUAGUGUACAAUUUAUUCCAUUAUUAAAGUAUUAAAUUAGUUUUGUGCAAUAAACCAGGAUGAAUGUAAGACUAAUGAUUAUGAAGAUGACAAGUGGGGAAAAUAAAUUAGUGUGUGCUGCUAUGGUGUAAAAUCAAGUAUAGCUGUGUAGUUACAAAAACAAAAAUUUCUCUGUAAUUCGAUAUGUAACAAAUGCCCCAAAAGCACAGAAGUUGCAUUUGUCACUGUGGCUAUUUUAAAGAUUUUUCUUUUCUGUGACAAAUCACCAUGAAAAUGAAGUCUGAAUAU